GAUGAACGCUGGCGGCGUGCCUAAUACAUGCAAGUCGAGCGAACAGACGAGGAGCUUGCUCCUCUGACGUUAGCGGCGGACGGGUGAGUAACACGUGGAUAACCUACCUAUAAGACUGGGAUAACUUCGGGAAACCGGAGCUAAUACCGGAUAAUAUAUUGAACCGCAUGGUUCAAUAGUGAAAGACGGUUUUGCUGUCACUUAUAGAUGGAUCCGCGCCGCAUUAGCUAGUUGGUAAGGUAACGGCUUACCAAGGCAACGAUGGGUAGCCGACCUGAAAGGGUGGUCGGCCACACUGGAACUGAGACACGGUCCAGACUCCUACGGUAGGCAGCAGUAGGGAAUCUUCCGCAAUGGGCGAAAGCCUGACGGAGCGACGCCGCGUGAGUGAUGAAGGUCUUCGGAUCGUAAAACUCUGUUAUUAGGGAAGAACAAAUGUGUAAGUAACGAUGCACGUCUUGACGGUACCUAAUCAGAAAGCCACGGCUAACUACGUG
RNAcentral lists this ribosomal RNA (497 nucleotides) under uncultured bacterium. RNAcentral describes it as "partial 16S ribosomal RNA". It matches the Rfam family "Bacterial small subunit ribosomal RNA", at positions 28 to 507 of the family's 1533-position model. The record is from RNAcentral.